Molecule: unclassified non-coding RNA, 353 nt
Filed under: Guioa koelreuteria
Lineage: Eukaryota; Viridiplantae; Streptophyta; Magnoliopsida; Sapindales; Sapindaceae
Description: partial external transcribed spacer
Source: RNAcentral
CUGUGUUGCUUACCAAUGGAAUGGAAUUUCAUCGGAUUCACGAAUAUAUUCGCUCGGUGUCCUUACGGAUGUCGAGUGGACGACAAGCUUGCCUCGUGUUCCAAGCAUGCCUUGCUUUGUUGUGUGGCUGCUAUGGCUCAUGGGGUUAAUGCUCGUUCUCUCGGAUGUGGAUCGUAAUGUGUGGGCGAAGAGGGGCAAUGACCUUCGUUCGUUUGAAUCAUGCAUUUGUCAAAUUGACAUGAACGACUGCUGUACUCGUCUUGGCUCUAAGGGCCUUACGGCUCUAUGAGAUUUCAUGCGAGCAUCAGCAUCGUGAAGGAAUGCUACCUGGUUGAUCCUGCCAGUAGUCAUAG